This is a non-coding RNA of Paramormyrops kingsleyae, 2086 nucleotides long. The record is from RefSeq and is a predicted model, not a curated record. NCBI's taxonomy places the organism in Eukaryota, Metazoa, Chordata, Actinopteri, Osteoglossiformes, Mormyridae.
AACAGACAAAGCACAGAACACAUUCAUCUGGGUUAUCAAAGGCUGCUGCUGAAGAAUCAGGGUGUACUCACACUACGCAUGGUUGCCGUGAACCGGGCCCGAGUACGAUUGUCCCCACUCCCCCUCUGGCCUGCACUCACAUAGGGUUUCAGCAUCCGUGCCAGAGCACGGUUACGUCAUUAUGGUGCGACGGUUUCAGGAUAAACAGGAAGACGCAAUGGCGUCCAUCGCUCUGGUUACUUUGUUGAUAGUAAUUUUGAGUCGUUUGGUUCGUGGUGGUCCACAGCCCUCUCACAGCCUGUUGCUAAACAGGUCUAUCGCUUUUGUGGCAAGAAAUUUUUCACUCAAUCGUGCUGCUCGUAUGAGGAGGUGUGCAAGGUACCAGCUGAAGUGCAGCAAGGACUUUGCAGCUUUGAUUACCGACUACAGUUUCCGUACAUCGACAAGGACCAUAUGGAUUCGGCAGAGAUCUGGUGUGUGGUGGCAGCAUGUUCUCAGCAGCUGAACAGACUGUGAGUGGAAGGCUAAUUUCAGAAUGAGAAGGACAGCAUUCUUGCGGUUGUGCAACAGCCUGCAGCCGCACCUUCAAAGACAGACCACUACAUUCAGGAAACCAGUGCCCGUGGACCAACGUGUUACAAUAUGCAUAUGGAGACUGGCCACAAAUGUUGAGUUCAGAACCAUCUCCCAUUUAUUUGGGAUUGGUCAGUCAACUGUUGUUAGCAUUACCAACCAUGUAGCCUCUGCAAUUGUGAAAAAUUUGCUUUCCCUUUUCAUCAGAACACCAUCUGAACAGGAAUUUGAAAGCAUAAUUCCGGAUUUCAGAGACAGGUGGAGCUUCCCACAAUGUGAAGGAGCUAUUGAUGGCACUCAUAUUGGGAUUUUAGCUCCGCCUGUAAGCUCUGCAGACUACUACAACCGGAAAGGUUUCUACUCUGUUAUUCUGCAAGGUGUGGUUGACCAUCGACUUGUGUUCUGGGACUUUAAUGUGGGAUGGCCGGGCAAGGUUCAUGAUGCAAGAGUUUUUGCAAAUUCAUCAUUGGUUGAGAGGGAUCAGAGUAAUACCCUGUUCCCUCGGAUAACAGAGAGGUUUGAAGGAGUAGAUGUGCCAGUGGUGAUUUUGGGGGAUGCUGCAUAUCCAUUACUGCCAUGGUUGAUGAAACCAUAUCCAGAAAAUCAACAAACAACUCCUGCACAGACCACCUUCAACAACCGCCUCAGCAAGGCACAGAUGACUGUGGAAAGGGCUUUUGGCCUAAUGAAAGGAAGGUGGAGAUGCUUAAUGAAGAGGUGUGAUUGCCGCAUAGACAACAAACACAAUUAUCAGCGCCUGUUGCGUGCUUCACAAUUUUUGUCAAGUACAUUUACAUUUACAUCAUUUGGCAGACGCCCUUAGCCAGAGCGACUUACAUAAGUGCUUUAAGACUCCACAAUGAAUUUUUCCCGAUACUAGCUCAAUAAAACCAAGGCUAUGAAUACCAUCGAUCUAAUACUCUGUUGGAAAAGUGCUUUUUUAAAAAAAAAAUUAUUAAGUAAUGCAAGUAUAAUGCCAGAAGUGCUAAUUCAGGUAUUUCUGGAAAAGGUGUUUUAAGUCGUGUGUUUUACCUAUUACAAACAUGUUAUUAAUAAAAACUAAAAAAAAGAUAAAACUUAACCCUUAUAAUAAAAUGCUAAUUUUAAAUACAGUAACAAAAACAUGAACAUGAACUUGAACAACUGUGCCUUUACAGGUUGCGAUAAACAUGUGUAGAGUUAUCGUCCUCAGAGUCUCCGCAUGGUACGGAUACUGCAGCUGAGGAGGAGGAGUAGCAGGAGGAGGUGUAUGAGGAGGAGCAUUUUUCUUGCUGGUAACGCAGGUGCUCCCCAUGCAUGAAUUCUUCAUGAUGUUGUUUCUGCAUGUCUGGAAAGGCAGUCACCAUGUCACUUACUUCUACCUUUCUCUUCCUCUUUUUGCCUUGUUCUGAAGGUAUUGUCUCAGGUUCAGUCUAUUCUGUUGUGUCCUGUAUCUCAUCACCAGUGUUUGAAGCGAUUGUUGAAUCUGAAUUGAAUGAUGUAACUGUUGAAAUAAAAGCAAAAUAAACAUAAA